GGUCAGCUGACACAUCCCUGCCAAUCUCCGGCAGACCCUCCCUCCCAGACCCUCCUACUUCCUGGACAGCAUCCAUGUUGAAGGCAGCUUCAACAUGGAUGCUGUCCAGGAGGUGGGAGGGUCUGGGAGGGAGGGUCUGCUGGAGAUUGGCAGGGAUGUGUCAGCUG
Non-coding RNA from Pelobates cultripes (western spadefoot toad), 167 nucleotides. The record is from the annotation of a GenBank genome assembly. Lineage: Eukaryota; Metazoa; Chordata; Amphibia; Anura; Pelobatidae.